Molecule: small RNA, 28 nt
Filed under: Bombyx mori (domestic silkworm)
Lineage: Eukaryota; Metazoa; Arthropoda; Insecta; Lepidoptera; Bombycidae
Description: ovarian small RNA-26288
Source: RNAcentral
UCAUUAAAAUGAGGGUGAUGAGCGUCAA